UUACUCUGGCUUCUCUUCAACGCAUGAUUCUUUCGCCUUUUACUAAAGAACUCCGUGGAGGGGAGCAUUUCAAUGAGUCUUUGACUGUUUUUCCACACCUGACUUUGGUCAGGAC
Small nuclear RNA from Ciona intestinalis (vase tunicate), 115 nucleotides. Its record names the gene U5. It matches the Rfam family "U5 spliceosomal RNA". From Rfam's summary of the family: U5 RNA is a component of both types of known spliceosome. The precise function of this molecule is unknown, though it is known that the 5' loop is required for splice site selection and p220 binding, and that both the 3' stem-loop and the Sm site are important for Sm protein binding and cap methylation. NCBI's taxonomy places the organism in Eukaryota, Metazoa, Chordata, Ascidiacea, Phlebobranchia, Cionidae. The record is from Ensembl.